GCGGCAGAGCUCAAUUUGAAUCCGGCCCCCCUGGGGGCCUGAGUUGUAAUUUGCAGAGGAUGCUUCGGGCGCGACCGCGGUCCAAGUCCCCUGGAACGGGGCGUCGUAGAGGGUGAGAAUCCCGUCUCCGGCCGGCCGGUCUCGCCCGUGUGAAGCUCCUUCGACGGAGGUCGAGUUGUUUGGGAAUGCAGCUCCAAAUGGGUGGUAAAUUUCAUCUAAAGCUAAAUACUGGUCGGAGACCGAUAGCGCACAAGUAGAGUGAUCGAAAGAUGAAAAGCACUUUGAAAAGAGAGUUAAACAGCAUGUGAAAUUGUUGAAAGGGAAGCGCUUGCGACCAGAGUCGGCCGCGGGGGUUCAGCGGGCAUUCGUUGCCCGUGCAAUCCCCCGCGGCCGGGCCAGCGUCGGUUUCGACGGCCGGUCAAAGGCCCCCGGAAUGUGUCGCCUCUCGGGGCGUCUUAUAGCCGGGGGUGCAAUGCGGCCAGUCGGGACCGAGGAACGCGCUCCGGCACGGACGCUGGCAAUAAUGGUCGUCAGCGACCCGU
This 542-nucleotide ribosomal RNA is filed under the name Histoplasma capsulatum. Its description in RNAcentral is "eukaryotic LSU rRNA". It matches the Rfam family "Eukaryotic large subunit ribosomal RNA", at positions 99 to 652 of the family's 3401-position model. Lineage: Eukaryota; Fungi; Ascomycota; Eurotiomycetes; Onygenales; Ajellomycetaceae. The record is from RNAcentral.